This 409-nucleotide ribosomal RNA is filed under the name uncultured prokaryote. RNAcentral's name for it is "bacterial SSU rRNA". It matches the Rfam family "Bacterial small subunit ribosomal RNA", at positions 355 to 774 of the family's 1533-position model. The record is from RNAcentral.
UGAGGAAUAUUGCACAAUGGGCGCAAGCCUGAUGCAGCGACGCCGCGUGAGGGAUGACGGCCUUCGGGUUGUAAACCUCUUUCGCCAGGGACGAAGCUUUUGGGUGACGGUACCUGGAGAAGAAGCACCGGCCAACUACGUGCCAGCAGCCGCGGUAAUACGUAGGGUGCGAGCGUUGUCCGGAAUUACUGGGCGUAAAGAGCUCGUAGGCGGUUUGUCGCGUCGUCUGUGAAAUUCUGCAGCUUAACUGUAGGCGUGCAGGCGAUACGGGCAGACUUGAGUACUACAGGGGAGACUGGAAUUCCUGGUGUAGCGGUGAAAUGCGCAGAUAUCAGGAGGAACACCGGUGGCGAAGGCGGGUCUCUGGGUAGUAACUGACGCUGAGGAGCGAAAGCGUGGGUAGCGAACA